Molecule: ribosomal RNA, 252 nt
Filed under: uncultured bacterium
Lineage: Bacteria
Description: partial 16S ribosomal RNA
Rfam family: Bacterial small subunit ribosomal RNA
Source: RNAcentral
UACGUAGGGGGCAAGCGUUGUCCGGAAUUAUUGGGCGUAAAGCGCGCGCAGGCGGUCGUUUAAGUCUGAUGUUUAAACCCAGGGCUCAACCUUGGGUCGCAUUGGAAACUGGGCGACUGGAGUGCAGGAGAGGAAAGUGGAAUUCCACGUGUAGCGGUGAAAUGCGUAGAGAUGUGGAGGAACACCAGUGGCGAAGGCGACUUUCUGGCCUGUAACUGACGCUGAGGCGCGAAAGCGUGGGGAGCGAACAGG